UUUAAUUUAUAGGCUGAGGGUGUGACACAUUCUGGUCCGACCAAACUUGUGCUGUACUUUACCGGAGCUACCAACAUCCUCUAUACAUUUGGUGGACACGCUGUGACUGUGUAAGUCUUCUUUUCAUAUCAUUUUUUUCAAUUUAUUGUAUAUUUCGCAACCAUAAAAGAACAAAAAAUAUUCAGGUAGAUGGAUUCGCAACAGUAAAUUCUAUAAUUCAUUUCUGAUUAAGUAAACUAAGUUAAAAUCUAUUUUGCAUAUCCAACAUUUGUUUUGCUGAAAGUACUGAGAAUCUUAUAGUUUUAAUUAAAAAGAGGACAGUUUCUCUGAAGAGUGUUUCAUACUUUUUAGUUUACUCUUCUCUUUUAACUUGUAUAUAUGCAGCUUUUGCCGGUUACUUAGAUUCUGUCCGAACUGCACAAACAGACAAAAUCAUUAUUACGCAAUAUACAAAGAAAAAUACCUUUUUGGCACACUAGGUUUUUUUUCCACGACCUUUUCUAACUUUUUGUUUGUUUGUUUACUCGCGAUAUAUACAUCUUUUAGAGUACGUAACAUAACCACACUGGUCGGACCGAACCGCAAUCUCUGGUUGGACCAAGAGAUCCAACGGCAGUGACUUUUGUGCUCUUCCUUUUUCAAUUUACUUAUAAAUAUAAUUAUAAAUAACAGGGAAAUAAUGCAUGCGAUGUGGAAACCAAGGAAGUUUAAGAGCAUAUACCUGAUGGCGACACUGUACGUCUUCACGUUAACGCUUCCGUCAGCCUCCGCCGUCUAUUGGGCUUUCGGCGACCAGCUUCUCAACCACUCAAAUGCUUUCUCUCUCCUCCCUAAAACGCGUUUCC
This 845-nucleotide long non-coding RNA is filed under the name Brassica rapa (field mustard). RNAcentral describes it as "long non-coding RNA (BRAP_LNC007998)". The record is from RNAcentral. Lineage: Eukaryota; Viridiplantae; Streptophyta; Magnoliopsida; Brassicales; Brassicaceae.